Molecule: ribosomal RNA, 722 nt
Filed under: uncultured bacterium
Lineage: Bacteria
Description: bacterial SSU rRNA
Rfam family: Bacterial small subunit ribosomal RNA
Source: RNAcentral
GACGCGUCUUGGUUAUUGAUGUUAGAUGCUUGCAUUUAACUGAUUUAACAUUGAGGCGAGUGGCGAACUGGUGAGUAACACGUGGGUAACCUGCCCUUGAAGUAGGGGAUAACACUUGGAAACAGGUGCUAAUACCGUAUAACAACCAAAACCACCUGGUUUUGGUUUAAAAGAUGGCUUCGGCUAUCACUUUAGGAUGGACCCGCGGCGUAUUAGCUUGUUGGUAAGGUAACGGCCUACCAAGGCAAUGAUACGUAGCCGACCUGAGAGGGUAAUCGGCCACAUUGGGACUGAGACACGGCCCAAACUCCUACGGGAGGCAGCAGUAGGGAAUCUUCCACAAUGGACGAAAGUCUGAUGGAGCAACGCCGCGUGAGUGAUGAAGGGUUUCGGCUCGUAAAACUCUGUUGUUGGAGAAGAACAGGUGUGAGAGUAACUGUUCACAUCUUGACGGUAUCCAACCAGAAAGCCACGGCUAACUACGUGCCAGCAGCCGCGGUAAUACGUAGGUGGCAAGCGUUGUCCGGAUUUAUUGGGCGUAAAGCGAGCGCAGGCGGUUUCUUAGGUCUGAUGUGAAAGCCUUCGGCUUAACCGGAGAAGUGCAUCGGAAACCAGGAGACUUGAGUGCAGAAGAGGACAGUGGAACUCCAUGUGUAGCGGUGAAAUGCGUAGAUAUAUGGAAGAACACCAGUGGCGAAGGCGGCUGUCUGGUCUGUAACUGA